This 272-nucleotide long non-coding RNA is filed under the name Callithrix jacchus (white-tufted-ear marmoset). Its description in RNAcentral is "lncRNA (ENSCJAG00000082687.1)". The record is from RNAcentral. Lineage: Eukaryota; Metazoa; Chordata; Mammalia; Primates; Cebidae.
AUGUUAGUGAAAUUGAUAAACGAGUUUGGAGGGGGAUCAGCUAUUAAAAGGAGAUGGAGCACCACAUUAUGGACAGCUCCAGGCCCUUGUGCCAGACGUGGAGAGAGGGACGUCCUCGCAGGGAGCUGCUGCCACCACUGCCAGAGACCUGGGGGACGCAGGCAGGGCUUCGCUGAAAGAACGGGGGCUGGCCACUGCUUCUCCCUGAGUUGAAGGAGACGAGGUUUUGCCAUGUUCCCCAGGCUAGUCUUGAACUCCUGGACGCAAGUGAU